RNAcentral lists this ribosomal RNA (445 nucleotides) under uncultured bacterium. RNAcentral's name for it is "partial 16S ribosomal RNA". It matches the Rfam family "Bacterial small subunit ribosomal RNA", at positions 354 to 796 of the family's 1533-position model. The record is from RNAcentral.
GUGAGGAAUAUUGGACAAUGGGCGCAAGCCUGAUCCAGCCAUGCCGCGUGCAGGAAGACGCAUCUAUGGUGUGUAAACUGCUUUUGUACGGGAAGAAACACUCCCUCGUGAGGGAGCUUGACGGUACCGUAAGAAUAAGGAUCGGCUAACUCCGUGCCAGCAGCCGCGGUAAUACGGAGGAUCCAAGCGUUAUCCGGAUUUAUUGGGUUUAAAGGGUCCGUAGGCGGUUUAAUAAGUCAGUGGUGAAAGCCCAUCGCUCAACGAUGGAACGGCCAUUGAUACUGUUAGACUUGAAUUACAAGGAAGUAACUAGAAUAUGUAGUGUAGCGGUGAAAUGCUUAGAUAUUACAUGGAAUACCAAUUGCGAAGGCAGGUUACUACUUGUGGAUUGACGCUGAUGGACGAAAGCGUGGGGAGCGAACAGGAUUAGAUACCCCUGUAGUCC